AUAACUUUCAUUAACAAAUUUCAAAUUUUUUAAUCAUUAUAAUUCACUGUUUCUUUCAGUCAUAAUCGCAGAAUUCUCUUUUAAAAUUUUUAAUCUUCUUAAUUUUUUACAAAAUAUUAAGAAGUCCUACAACAAUUCUCCAAUUCGAAAUUUUCUUUAUUUAUAAUCCCAACAUUUGCAAUUUUUUAAUAAUUUUUCUUUUUCAAACUUUCAUAUUAUCCCUAUCAAUAUCUUCUUCCAAAAUCCCUUUCAACAUCGAUUCUCUAACUAAAUCUUUACAAAUAUUAAAAAAAAAAAAAAAAUUAUUCAAUCAAAAUUCUAAUAAUUUCCUCUCCUCUCGAAUCUCUAUCUACAAAUUAAACGAAAUCAAAAAUAAAAAAUUUUUUUCCAAAAAUUUCAACAAAACGAGUGCAUUCCAACAAAGUGCACAGCCAGAGUUGGACAUUGACUCAUCGAAAAAGUAACUAAUUAAAAUUUUCGAAUAAAAUUACUUUAAUCGUAAUCACUUAUUAAAAUGUUUGAACUACAUUUAUUCGUAGCUAUUAUAAUCGAUUCGUUUUUCGUUAUUCAAAUUAUUAAAUUUAUUCUGCCCAUCGCUGUGCACAGCCUUCCAGCACGCAAGUGCACGCUCCCCGUCUCUCGUCUGUUAGACACCAACGUUUCCACGGAGAGUAGGUGCAACGCGGAAGCAUCGUCUAGCAUUCCAAGCUCGCUAAUAACCCGGCGGCGGGUCAUUAUUCUAGAGAAGGAGGUGACGGCGGUCGCCACGCAGUUUCCCACUCAAAAUGAAAAACCCGAACGCGAACACGUGGAGGGGAUGAUGCAUGCAGAGGCUACUUUCAGUGGCCGACGACUUCAGUGUACGUUGGUGGGGUUGGACUCUCGUGUCUCACGCACGCACACUCUCUACCCCGAGCUUAGUCUAGCCUUAAUAGUCAUCCACUGGAAGCCGGAGACGAUCGAAUCUGUCCUCCGCCACAAUCACGCGUCCGUCUUCUCUGAAUUUUCCAUCGUUUUCAUCUUCGAUCGUCGAUCGUUCAAGGUUCGGUGAAUACGUUCGAAGAAAUAUCGUGCGGUGUUUCAGUGAUAUACGGAGGGUGAAUUACUUAGUGCUUAGUUAGUUUCGUUGUAUCAACAUUCGGUCUUGUUGACAGCUGGCUGCCUUCGAUCGGAUCGCAUCGGUUUGUUCUCGAGACGAACUCGAGAGAGAAAGAGAGAGAGAGAGAGAGAGUUGGUUCGAUCGAAGUGCAGCCGCGAUUGAACUGGACACGUCUAACUCUUUGCUCGGAUCGAGCGUCGCGAAGGUGGUGUGCUAGUUUUUUUUUUUUUUAAUUCAUUCGAGAAUUUUGUGAUUUCGAGAUUUUCGAAUAUAUACAAUUAUACGUUGUAUAAUCUUGGUAGAAAAGUGAAGAAAAAAGAGAGACUCGCCGGGUGGAAAUAUACAAGUGGUGGUUCUUCUCGUUCUUUCUGUGUAUUUGUUAAAUUUUUAAUUUAUGGGUGAUAUAUAUAUAUAAUAUAUUCUUGUGAUAAUAAUUAUUCGCAAUUGAGAUUCGUUUUUUUUUUUGAGGAGCGUGAUUCAUGAUAUAGGUGGGCAAAACAAUGGUUGUUUAUUAUGCCGAGUCUCGUUCCUCGGUUGACACGUGAUGACGGAUGGAGUGAUACAAUAACGCUACGAUUUAACGGAUGACACACGGAAAUUUAUUCGAUGAAUCAUUCGAUUGGAGUGGUCAUGUACAGAAAUAAAAAUAAAAUCAACGUUUAGCGAGACGUGGUUGUCCCUGACCUUCUUCUUUCCCUCGUUCACGCUAAUUUCAUUCAAUUUCUAUUAAUCUCUUUUAUGUAUAACAAUGUAUAUUUCUAAAAAUUUAUGUUUAAUUCAACAGUGUAUCAAGGGAUAUAACAUAUCGAUUUAUAAUAUAUUAUAAUUAUAUAUUUAAAUUCCUAUUAAUUCUUAUUACUAUUUACAAAAAUUUAUUAAGUUAUAGAAAAAUGUAUGUAUUCUUAUAUUUAAAGAUAUAGAUUAAGUUAUCUAGGAUAAAAUUCUACAGUAUAUAUAUACAUAUCUUUAUUAUUUAUUACUACAAUUGUCAAAAAUUUUUUCCAAUACUUUUUUCAAAACGAUUGCCUACUUUAAAAUUCCUUCCAAUCAUAUCCCGCUAAAAGUUAAUUCCUCGAGGCGAGAAUCGAGCCGAUAUAUUUCACCGAUGUAUCGUCGAAAAUAAUAAAAAAAAAAAUACAAGUUCAAAGUCGAGGUAACGAUAACAAGGGA
This is a long non-coding RNA of Apis mellifera (honey bee), 2269 nucleotides long. RefSeq lists it as uncharacterized. Lineage: Eukaryota; Metazoa; Arthropoda; Insecta; Hymenoptera; Apidae. The record is from RefSeq and is a predicted model, not a curated record. The transcript has 2 exons.